This 425-nucleotide ribosomal RNA is filed under the name uncultured bacterium. RNAcentral's name for it is "partial 16S ribosomal RNA". It matches the Rfam family "Bacterial small subunit ribosomal RNA", at positions 354 to 796 of the family's 1533-position model. The record is from RNAcentral.
GUGGGGAAUAUUGGACAAUGGGCGAAAGCCUGAUCCAGCAAUGCCGCGUGAGUGAAGAAGGCCUUCGGGUUGUAAAGCUCUUUUACCCGGGAAGAUAAUGACUGUACCGGGAGAAUAAGCCCCGGCUAACUCCGUGCCAGCAGCCGCGGUAAUACGGAGGGGGCUAGCGUUGUUCGGAAUUACUGGGCGUAAAGCGCACGUAGGCGGUCUUUUAAGUCAGAGGUGAAAGCCCGGGGCUCAACUCCGGAAUUGCCUUUGAAACUGGGAGACUUGAACACGGGAGAGGUGAGUGGAAUUCCGAGUGUAGAGGUGAAAUUCGUAGAUAUUCGGAGGAACACCAGUGGCGAAGGCGGCUCACUGGACCGUUGUUGACGCUGAGGUGCGAAAGCGUGGGGAGCAAACAGGAUUAGAUACCCGUGUAGUCC